This 1362-nucleotide ribosomal RNA is filed under the name Triticum aestivum (bread wheat). Its description in RNAcentral is "partial small subunit ribosomal RNA". Lineage: Eukaryota; Viridiplantae; Streptophyta; Magnoliopsida; Poales; Poaceae. The record is from RNAcentral.
AUGCCGCCCAUGGUGCGCACAAGGAGCACCACCGCCGUCCCACUCCCACUCGCCGGCGGCACGGAGCUCCCGGAGCCCGGCCGGCUCGUCCCGCUGUCCCCGUUCGACGCGUUCUGGGUGGCGCUGCCCCCAGUCCGCCGCGUCUUCCUCUUCCGCUCCCUGCCAGGCGUCCCGUUCUCUGACGUCGCCGGCACCCUCAGGUCCUCCCUCGCGCAAGUGCUCCCAGCCUUCCACCCCUUCGCCGGCGCACUCACAUACUCGCCGGACUCGCGCGCUCUUUCGAUCGUCCUCCCGGACGAGUGGGAGGGCGGCUCCUGCGGAGGCGUCACGUUCGUCGAGGCCGAGGCGGACCUCGAUUUCGAGCGGCUCGUCGAGGAGGCGGCAGAACACGACCAGGACGCUCUCGGACAGCUUGUCCCGGACACCCGCCGGAACCAGCUCCCGGCGCCCGUGAUGGCCGCGCAGGUGACGGAGUUCGUCGGUGGCGGCGGUGGCGUGGCACUGGGGGUGGCCGUGCACCAUACGGCGGCGGACGGCCGCGGCAUUUGGCGGUUCUUGGAGAUGUGGGCGGCGGCAGCGGCCGGUGUUGAGGUUGGCCGGGUGCCCGCCGGGUCGGCUCCGCUGCAUGACCGGAGGCUGGUGCGGUUCCACGGCGACGAAGAGCUCGCCGGGCUGUUCUUGCGGCAAAUCGCCCCGAACUUGCCCACGAUUGCUCCGAGGCAAGAUCCCGCGCUCGACGGCCGGCGUCGCCUCAGCCGGCGAACCUUCACCUUCGCCGCGCCCGCGGUGCAGCGUCUCAAGCAGAGGCUUGCGUCCGCGGCGAACAUCGGCACGGCGCCGUCCACCUUCGCCGCCCUGGCGGCGCACGGGUGGGUGUCCAUCGCGCGCGCCAGCGGCUUCGCCGACGACGCACCGGUGUUCGCCGCCUUCCUCGCGGACUGCCGCGCCUACAUGUCGCCCCCGGCGCCGGACGCCUACGCCGGCAACUGCGUCGCGCUCUGCAUGGCCUCACUGUGCGGGUCGGUGCUCGCGGGGCCGGACGGGCCCGCCCGCGCGCUCCUGGCUGUCAGGGAGGCCGUCGCGGAGGUGAAGCGCGACCCGCUCCGCGACCGCGCCCGUUGGUGGACCAAGUUCACGGCCAUCCCGCCCGGCCGCAAGGUCGUCCUAGUAGGGUCGCCGUGGUUCCCCGCGUACGGGCCGGACUUCGGGUUCGGGAGGCCGGCGAGGGUGGAGCUGGCGUCCAUGAACCACGACGGCGAGAUGGUGCUCGUCGCCGGGAGGGAGGCCGGCUCGGUGCAGGCUUCAGUGUCGAUUGCCGCGGGGAAGAUGCAGGCGUUCCGCGACGUGUUCAUGGCUGAAUGA